CCGUAUUCUGCUCACGAACGAUUGUGUUUUGAAAAAGACUCAAACUUUGUGUGGCUUAACGAAACUUUUGCCUACCUGGUCGUUAUUGGUUUCGAGUGCGUGUAGCAGAUGCUAGGAGACCCCGUCCGGGGGUCCUUCGCUGUUGUCUAUUUCUCCCCCGCUUUGUCCGGUCCCCGGGCGAUGAAGCUCUCUGCGAGGGAUAGAGCGAGGUUUGUCCAGUCUGUGGCGAGGUUAUCGAGGAAAGAAGCUUUUUUCAUGAACCUCGGUAUGUCAGUUUUUUUUUUUUUUUUGUGGUGUCGGUACGUACGACCCUUUGGUUUGCUCGCUCUGAGCAAUUCGUACAAGGGUACGUUCAAAGAGUUUCUUGACGGAGACGUCAACCCGCCGACUUACUACAUUUCCCCGGUCGUCUAACAAUUUUUUUUCCACACGAUCAAGGACACAUCUAGUUUGUUGCGAGCCGUCGUCUUUUCGACGGCCGUCUCACUUAAUUUGAAACGUUAACGUACGACCGUAGGCGUUGGAUCACUCGGCUCGUG
RNAcentral lists this unclassified non-coding RNA (539 nucleotides) under Notoacmea elongata. RNAcentral's name for it is "partial miscellaneous RNA". The record is from RNAcentral. Lineage: Eukaryota; Metazoa; Mollusca; Gastropoda; Acmaeidae.